AUGGAAUAUAUCAAAAGGCUACUAUUGAAGAGAUCUGCGUUGAGUAUCUCUUCUGCUGAGUUAGGUGUCAAUACGAAGUUAAGUAUGAUUCCAGAAUCUUCGAGAGAUUUUAGGCAUAGUGGUGAUCUUUGUUGGCACGAGUAUUAUCACAUGAGUGAAGUAUCUCAGACUGUUUUGCCACCAAAGCGAUAUACUCGGUGCGAACCUUUGACUGCGGUGCGGUGCUUUCACGAGCCACAGGCUAUGCUCCAGGUUUUUUCUAUCAAGCUGAAGGCAUAUCUCCAAGCUAUAGGCAGUUCAGUCAAUGUAUAUGGUUUUGUUGCAGUCCGGGAUGGUGAGGAUUAUCACCGAAAUUAUCUUUUCAAUCCACCCCGAACUGAUCCAGUGACCAUCAACACGACCAGCGACUACCUGCCUUUGAUGAGUCCGAUACGAGGCAUGUCCAUGACAUUUGAAUGCUUGAUCGAAGUUGAUAUCAGAAUAAAGGGAGAUAUAGAAGAUGUCACUCUGGUCGAUGGGUGUGCCGAUCUUAUUGAGAGUCGUUGUCUAUAUGACACGGAAAUUGAGUGCACGAUGGAUGAUACAAAUGGUGCGGCCAUGUUCGAUUUUAUCAUCUUUCGUAGAGCGCUUGAGGCGACGAUAGAGUUGAAUUUCACAAAGGUGCCUACAGGAGGCAUGGAGGUGAAGAUGUGUGGAUACACGGCGAUUUCGAAGAGCCUUUAUGACUUCAUGGGCGAGCAGCGUGAGUGUGAUCAGUUCGUUGCCUCUGCUGGGAAACAUCCACAGUACUUCAUAGCAGCUGUGCCGUUUGAAGACACACUGUUUGUUGACUUCAUGGAGGGAAAGCUGUCGAUUCCUUUCAAGGCAGCAGUUCAUGGCAGCCAAGAGAGAGAAUACCAUUUCAGCAACGGUGCCCUGGUGUCGGUGACGGUUUCUUGGUCGUCGACCUAUUACUGA
This 957-nucleotide ribosomal RNA is filed under the name Triticum aestivum (bread wheat). RNAcentral describes it as "partial small subunit ribosomal RNA". The record is from RNAcentral. Lineage: Eukaryota; Viridiplantae; Streptophyta; Magnoliopsida; Poales; Poaceae.